RNAcentral lists this long non-coding RNA (3421 nucleotides) under Homo sapiens (human). RNAcentral's name for it is "HSALNT0337175". The record is from RNAcentral. Lineage: Eukaryota; Metazoa; Chordata; Mammalia; Primates; Hominidae.
CCCAUUUCCUCCUUGCUUCACCCCGUGAACACAACUGCUUCUCUUCAGCAGCCCCAAAUGGAAAUUAUUCAGGAGUGUCACAGCCACAGAGGGGCACAUCAACCUGAUACAAGAGAAAUGGAGCGAGGAGAGGUUAAAUCACAGAAUUUGGAAAGAAAAAGGGCAUCCAACAGCCUUAAAGAUGAAGAAAUGGAAGCUCCAGAGUUGAAGAAAUGUGUCUUCACUCCCACAAGUAAUCUUGAAGUUCCGAGCCACCAUGAGAGUUUUCCUGACACUGAGGUAAUUUCCUACCAUGUUGACACCACCUUGCGCCAGUGUUCAAGACCAUCACAGCUAUGAACCUUGUUGGCUUGUAUCAGAUGCCUGCUGGGACCUUGGCUGCCCAUAGUGCUCUCUAAAGACUCCAGCUUUCCAUAACUCCUACAGUUUUAAGUUCAAGGAAUGAUGAAGAGGACGCCAAUGUACGGAUUUGAUUUACCAAAUCAGGCCUGUACAGCAGCUGAAUCAACCUAUGGGAAAAUUUUGGCUCUCUUUAACAUUCUAAUUUUUGAGAACACCAUUGCAAAUACAUGAUUUCCAAAAUAAUAACAAUGCACUUAAUUAAUCACAUUAUAGAUCAUCAUAUAAAAAUAAAUACCUAAAUAGAAAUACAAUUUAUUUUUUUCUUAAAUUCCAAAUUGCAUAGAGCUGCCUCCUCUGCAGUUUUCCAUCACUGCCUCCUUCUCAGACUUCUCCUUUUGUUUUUUCAUUUCUUUGUACAGACUCCAGUCAUUUGUUUAAAUAUUCAUACUCAACCAGAAUACGUUUCCUAAUGUGGGAAUCAUUGCUUAUUCACAGGCACAGCCCUUGACAUCCUGAAAACAUGUAGUAAUGAUUUUUGGAAUAAAGGUUUGACACUUCUACAUUUACAUGUAAAUGGAGUUAAAAAAUUCUAGGUUGAGAAUAAGAAUACUAUAAAAAUUUUGAUCUAAAAUGGAUGUUAGAGAUAACCCAGCGCAACCAGUUGCUCUUACAAUUGAGGAAACUGAGGUCAAGAAUGAGUGAGUGGCUCAGAGUCACCCAGCUCAUUAGAGCCUGAAUGAACCACCUUGGUUCACUACCUCUGUUCACCGCCCUUUCUAGUGCACUUCAUGAAAUCACUCUCUAAGUACACAUCAACUCAUUUAGAUACUUAAAUGAUUCUUGAGAAAGUAGAAAGUAUAAAUGCCUUGACCACACAUAAGAACUUUGACAUAUUUCACUCUCUGUACUGAAAUUUCUAACAAUGCCUGGUACAUAAUAGGUAUUCAGUUGAUUUGGGUUUCUACAUCCCUUUUCUCCUUCUCUUCUUCAAGUUUGCAUGUAAACCACAUUAAAGACUGCUAAUAUAUAAAGUAGGCACCAUCUCAUGAAUCAAAGAGGGGAUUCCUAGAGCCACUGAGGAUGUCUUUAGAAGCCAGUGGUGCUGAUCCCACAGCUACUCUCCUGUGGACAGUGGAAGUGCUCCCCAAAGUACAUUCUUAGGGGAAAUGGGGCUGCCGCCAUGAGGAGGUGUCAAUAGAGAUUAGAGAUGGUCUUUGUGCUGUGAGAGAGACCUCACAUUUCCAAAUGCCAAGUCCUUUCUUCCUCAGUCAAAUGUACCCCCUAGAACAUAGAUACCUACUAAGCUGUAGAUUUUUGAGGGGAUACAGAGCUGAAUCCAUAAGAUAGUGGAUUAUUCAGAUAAGAAUUUCUGUAGAUAGAGAGUUUCCAAUCAAUUAUGUACCCCAACAAUGUGAGGUCAACUACUUAGACUACCUCUUAGCUUCUACAUUUAGAUGUUUCAAAGUCUGUUCUGAUCCUUAAAUUUGACACUUCUCUUUAAUAUAAACAAAGCCCUUUUAGUAUUCUUUGGGAUUAGCUUACCACUUAAUAAAUUCCUUCCAACACUAUCUUCUGUGAGUCAACAAACAGCUUCCUCCUGUGAUUUGGGCCUGGCUAACAACAAGUUAGACUUCAGACGAAUAAUUACUAGGCUGAGGCAUUUUCCAGGUGGUACAUUCCCACUUUGAGGAAACUUGGUCAUUUUACUUUUGCAUUUAAGAUGUCCUUAGGCUGAAAAUAAAGUGUCAGUGUUUGAAAUGUCCUUCUCUGUAUCAUUGACUUGAUUUUUAGAUAAUAUUUCAGGCUGGACUGACACCAAAAGUGCUUUUCAAAAACACAUGAAAAGACCAAAAUUAUUUAAAUAAUUUACAAUAUAUGAAAGGUAGUAAAUUCUAGGCAAACAUUUUAACUAGGUUUUUAUGGAGAACUGACAGUGAGUAGCUUUGUGCUGAACCCUGUGUAAGGCAUUAAAUGAUGCACUCGUGUAAUUAUUUUCCCUAAAUUAAUGCCUGUCCCUGACACAUCUUAGACUUUUCCACCCUUGCCCUAAAUAACUUAAUUAAAAAAAAAAAUUCUCCCAGCUAAUUUGCUGACAUAUAGUCACCACUGAUUUUGUCACAUGUUGUUCAAGAGAGUGAGUACAUUCUGAAAUUAGACAGCUUACAGUGUCAGGUAAAAAUUCUUACAAGGCAGAGACAGUUUUUGGAGUUGCAACUAGUUAACUGUGGGCUUCUACUUGAGACAAAAGUGACUUCAUUUUAUUGGAGAAAAUGUCAAUCAAGACGUAACUACUGACACCUGUCUUUGUUUCACCAGCCAGUAAUAAAAGAUAAAGCAGAGGAAAUGGAGGAGCUGCAGUUAUGCGUUUGCAACACACAAAGUCCUUGUUUUCCCACUAGGCGCUGCAGAAAAGCAAUUGUCCAUUCACGGCACAUCCUCUGCAUUUCAGAGCUAAUAUUUUUGCAGUUCUUAACUUAGUACAUUCCAGUCUUAUGCAGUUAAUUUUUUUAACCCUUUGAAAUACACCUCAUGUUUGAAAUCGUGCUUAAUAUUACUGCUAACAUGACCCAGUUUUAAAGCUUUCAGGUUCUCAAUGUUGAGAAUAGAAACUUUAAGAAAAUCGGUUAGAAAUUUUGGAACAGGGUAAGGAUUUCAAAUAAUCCUGUCUUAUUUGCUAUUGCAUAACUUUGAGAAGGGUAAUAGGGAAAUCCAUGGUAACCAUAUAUUACUUAAAUUGCUGUUACAAAAACCGACUCUUUGGAUAGGAAUGAUUUUUAGCAGGGAUCCUCCUUAAGACAUAAUAAUGUGCCACUGAAAACAACAUUAGCCCUGUAUUGAAUUGCCAAUCUUCCUGCAGCAUUUAGUGUGUUUACUGUAUAUGAAUGCCUAUGCCUGUCUCUGGUGCAAAGAGGUUUACUCUUAUUGCAAUAGUCACUCUGGCUAGAGCACAUGAAGAACAGAAUUUUUAAAUGAUUAAUUAGUCCCCAGGCUCAAUCACUUAAGCCCCUAAUUGAAUAUCUGACUCCAUUUUCAACUAUUGUAGGAAAAGAUAAUUAGCAAAUUUGCAGUGGUAAUAAAG